Molecule: ribosomal RNA, 448 nt
Filed under: uncultured bacterium
Lineage: Bacteria
Description: bacterial SSU rRNA
Rfam family: Bacterial small subunit ribosomal RNA
Source: RNAcentral
CCCAGACUCCUACGGGAGGCAGCAGUGGGGAAUAUUGGGCAAUGGGCGCAAGCCUGACCCAGCAACGCCGCGUGAAGGAAGAAGGCUUUCGGGUUGUAAACUUCUUUUAAGAGGGAAGAGUAGAAGACGGUACCUCUUGAAUAAGCCACGGCUAACUACGUGCCAGCAGCCGCGGUAAUACGUAGGUGGCAAGCGUUGUCCGGAUUUACUGGGUGUAAAGGGCGUGUAGCCGGGCCGGCAAGUCAGAUGUGAAGUCCCAUGGCUCAACCUUGGAACUGCAUUUGAAACUGUUGGUCUUGAGUAUCGGAGAGGCAGGCGGAAUUCCUAGUGUAGCGGUGAAAUGCGUAGAUAUUAGGAGGAACACCAGUGGCGAAGGCGGCCUGCUGGGCGACAACUGACGGUGAGGCGCGAAAGCGUGGGGAGCAAACAGGAUUAGAUACCCUAGUAC